GGCCAAUGAUUUAAUCAAAAAAAUAGACAAGCAUAUGUCUGAAUUAAUCCUUGUUGAUAAAAUCUAAUCUUCUCUAUGAGGCCA
This is a small nucleolar RNA of Arabidopsis thaliana (thale cress), 84 nucleotides long. The record is from RefSeq. Lineage: Eukaryota; Viridiplantae; Streptophyta; Magnoliopsida; Brassicales; Brassicaceae.